Molecule: ribosomal RNA, 468 nt
Filed under: uncultured bacterium
Lineage: Bacteria
Description: partial 16S ribosomal RNA
Rfam family: Bacterial small subunit ribosomal RNA
Source: RNAcentral
GACGAACGCUGGCGGCGUGCUUAACACAUGCAAGUUGAACGGAAAGGCCCUGCUUUUGUGGGGUGCUCGAGUGGCGAACGGGUGAGUAACACGUGAGUAACCUGCCCUUGACUUUGGGAUAACUUCAGGAAACUGGGGCUAAUACCGGAUAGGAGCUCCUGCUGCAUGGUGGGGGUUGGAAAGUUUCGGCGGUUGGGGAUGGACUCGCGGCUUAUCAGCUUGUUGGUGGGGUAGUGGCUUACCAAGGCUUUGACGGGUAGCCGGCCUGAGAGGGUGACCGGCCACAUUGGGACUGAGAUACGGCCCAGACUCCUACGGGAGGCAGCAGUGGGGAAUAUUGCACAAUGGGCGGAAGCCUGAUGCAGCAACGCCGCGUGCGGGAUGACGGCCUUCGGGUUGUAAACCGCUUUCGCCUGUGACGAAGCGUGAGUGACGGUAAUGGGUAAAGAAGCACCGGCUAACUGCGUG